This 497-nucleotide ribosomal RNA is filed under the name uncultured bacterium. RNAcentral's name for it is "partial 16S ribosomal RNA". It matches the Rfam family "Bacterial small subunit ribosomal RNA", at positions 28 to 507 of the family's 1533-position model. The record is from RNAcentral.
GAUGAACGCUGGCGGCGUGCCUAAUACAUGCAAGUCGAGCGAACAGACGAGGAGCUUGCUCCUCUGACGUUAGCGGCGGACGGGUGAGUAACACGUGGAUAACCUACCUAUAAGACUGGGAUAACUUCGGGAAACCGGAGCUAAUACCGGAUAAUAUAUUGAACCGCAUGGUUCAAUAGUGAAAGACGGUUUUGCUGUCACUUAUAGAUGGAUCCGCGCCGCAUUAGCUAGUUGGUAAGGUAACGGCUUACCAAGGCAACGAUGCGUAGCCGACCUGAGAGGGUGGUCGGCCACCCUGGAACUGAGACACGGUCCAGACUCCUACGGGAGGCAGCAGUCGGGAAUCUUCCGCAAUGGGCGAAAGCCUGACGGAGCAACGCCGCGUGAGUGAUGAAGGUCUUCGGAUCGUAAAACUCUGUUAUUAGGGAAGAACAAAUGUGUAAGUAACUAUGCACGUCUUGACGGUACCUAAUCAGAAAGCCACGGCUAACUACGUG